This 254-nucleotide ribosomal RNA is filed under the name uncultured bacterium. RNAcentral's name for it is "partial 16S ribosomal RNA". It matches the Rfam family "Bacterial small subunit ribosomal RNA", at positions 524 to 776 of the family's 1533-position model. The record is from RNAcentral.
UACGUAGGAGGCGAGCGUUAUCCGGAUUUACUGGGCGUAAAGCGCGUGCAGGCGGUCUGGUAAGUUGGAUGUGAAAGCUCCUGGCUCAACCGGGAGAGGUCGUUCAAUACUGCCAGACUCGAGGACGGUAGAGGAGAGUGGAAUUCCCGGUGUAGUGGUGAAAUGCGUAGAUAUCGGGAGGAACACCAGUGGCGAAGCGGACUCUCUGGGCCGUUCCUGGACGCUAAGACGCGAAAGCGUGGGUAGCGAACGGG